Molecule: non-coding RNA, 2038 nt
Organism: Paramuricea clavata
Lineage: Eukaryota; Metazoa; Cnidaria; Anthozoa; Malacalcyonacea; Plexauridae
Source: the annotation of a GenBank genome assembly
CAAAACUCUGAUUUCCCUUGUGUGCUGAUAUUUUAUGUCUCGUUAAACUGUGUGAUUCUGAAAACCUUUUGUUGCAAACGUGACAUUCUUAACCUGGUUUGUCUCUGGUAUGUGUUUUUUUAUGAGUAGCUAAGUGACUUGAUUGUGAAAAUCUCUUCCUACAAAUACCGCAUUCAUAAGGUUGGUCUCCAGUAUGUGUUCUUUUAUGCUUGGUUAAGUUGGCCGAGCAUGAAAAUCUCUUCUUGCAAACAUCACAUUCAUAAGGUUUGUCUCCAGUGUGUAUUCUUUCAUGUGUAAGUAAGGUGCUUGACUGUGAAAAUCUCUUGUUACAAACAUCACAUUCAUAAGGUUUUUCGCCAGUGUGUGUUCUUUUAUGCUUGGUUAAGUUGGCCAAGCAUGAAAUUCUCUUCUUGCAAACAUCACAUUCAAAAGGUUUGUUUCCAGUGUGUAAUCUUUCAUGUGUAAGUAAGUUGGUUGACUGUGAAAAUCUUUUGUUGCAAACAUCGCAUUCAUAAGGUUUGUCUCCAGUGUGUGUUCUUUUAUGUUUAGUUAGGGUACUUGACACUGAAAAUCUCUUCUUGCAAACAUCACAUUCAUAAGGUUUGUCUCCAGUGUGUGUUCUUUCAUGUCUAAGUAAGGUGCUCGACUGUGAAAAUCUUUUCUUGCAAACAUCACAUUCAUAAGGUUUGUCUCCAGUGUGUGUUCUUUCAUGUGUAAGUAAGUUGGUUGACUGUGAAAAUCUUUUGUUGCAAACAUCGCAUUCAUAAGGUUUGUCUCCAGUGUGUGUUCUUUUAUGUUUAGUUAGGGUACUUGACACUGAAAAUCUCUUCUUGCAAACAUCACAUUCAUAAGGUUUGUCUCCAGUGUGUGUUCUUUCAUGUCUAAGUAAGGUGCUCGACUGUGAAAAUCUUUUCUUGCAAACAUCACAUUCAUAAGGUUUGUCUCCAGUGUGUGUUCUUUCAUGUGUAAGUAAGUUGGUUGACUGUGAAAAUCUUUUGUUGCAAACAUCGCAUUCAUAAGGUUUGUCUCCAGUGUGUGUUCUUUUAUGUUUAGUUAGGGUACUUGACACUGAAAAUCUCUUCUUGCAAACAUCACAUUCAUAAGGUUUGUCUCCAGUGUGUGUUCUUUCAUGUCUAAGUAAGGUGCUCGACUGUGAAAAUCUUUUCUUGCAAACAUCACAUUCAUAAGGUUUGUCUCCAGUGUGUGUUCUUUCAUGUGUAAGUAAGUUGGUUGACUGUGAAAAUCUUUUGUUGCAAACAUCGCAUUCAUAAGGUUUGUCUCCAGUGUGUGUUCUUUUAUGUUUAGUUAGGGUGCUUGGGUCAGAAAAUCUCUUCUUGCAAACAUCACAUUCAUAAGGUUUGUCUCCAGUGUGUGUUCUUUCAUGUGUAACUAAAGUGCUUGAGUGUGAAAAUCUUUUCUUGCAAACAUCACACUCAUAAGGUUUGUCUCCAGUGUGUGUUCUUUCAUGUCUAGCUAACCCGUCUGACCGCGAAAAUCUUCUGUUGCAAACAUCACAUUCAUAAGGUUUGUCUCCAGUGUGUGUUCUUUCAUGAACAGCUAAGUCGCCUGACCGUGAAAAUCUUUUGUUGCAAACAUCGCAUUCAUAAGGUUUUUCUCCAGUGUGGUUUCUCUUAUGAACCGCAAAGUGGCUAACGUGGCUUGACUUUGAAAAUCUUUUGUUGCAAACAUCACAUUGAUAAGGUUUGUCUCCAGUGUGUGUUCUUUCAUGUGUAGCUAAGCCGUCUGACCGCGAAAAUCUUUUGUUGCAAACAUCACAUUCAUAAGGUUUCCCCCUAGUAUGUGUUCGUUUGUGUGCCACCAAAUUUCCUUUCGUUGAAAAUACCUUGUUACAAACCUCGCAUUUCGUAGACAUGGUUUCAGCUUUUGAUCUUUUCCCCGUACGGUUAAAUUUCGAUAAAAAUAUCACCCAACUGUUCCCUCGAUUCGUUCUUUAUUGAAUCUUUAUAAUACUUCGGUUCUUACAGAAUUUCUGAUCAUAAAAAUGAGACACAGUUUGCAAACAACACGAGUCUCAAAA